Chelonia mydas (Green sea turtle) is the source of this 72-nucleotide non-coding RNA. Lineage: Eukaryota; Metazoa; Chordata; Testudines; Cheloniidae. The record is from Rfam.
GGGGGUAGAGUUCAGCAGCAGAGUGUUUGACUGCAGAUCAAGUGGUCCUUGGUUCACAUCCUAGUGCCCCCU